ACAGGUUUGGUCCUAAUCUUAAUAUUGGCUAUAACUACGAUUAUACAUGUAAGUUUCUACACCCCGGUGAAUACACCCCUUAUUUCCAAUCAGUAAUAAAGGAGUCGGUAUCAGGCACAUAGCCCAAAACACCUUGCCAAGCCACACCUACACAGGAAAUCAGCAGUAAUAAACAUUGAACAAUAAGUGAAAACUUGAUCCAGUAAUAGUUAUUAAAGUCGGUAAAUCUCGUGCCAGCCACCGCGGUUAUACGAGAGACUUAAGUUAAUAUAUGCGGCCCAAAGAACAGCUAGAGAAAUAAACUAUAGGACUGAGAGACUUUAAAGCCGUUAUACGCAAAAAACUUAAAAAUUCACAUUUUUUCCUACCUUACUUGAAUCUGUUAAAGCCUGGGGACACACUGGGAUUAGAUACCCCACUAUGCCGGGCCAUAAACUAAGGGACAUUCCCCGCCAGAGCACUACGAGCCACAGCUUAAAACUCAAAGGACUUGGCGGUGCCCUACACCCACCUAGAGGAGCCUGUUCUAUAAUUGACAAUCCCCAAUAAACCUUGCCGCCCCUUGUAAACACAGCCUAUAUACCACCGUCACAAGCCCACCCCAUAAAGGACUUAUAGUAGGCUAAAUAAUUAAAAAUAAAAAUGUCAGGUCAAGGUGUAGCAUAUGAGUCGGAAAGAAAUGGGCUACAUUUUCUUCAAAGAAAAUACGGAGUAUUUUAUGAAAUAAAAUAUGAAGGAGGAUUUAGCAGUAAAUAAAGAAUAGAGAGCUCUUUUAAAAUUGGCAAUAGGACGAGCACACACCGCCCGUCACCCUCUUUACACACAUAUAAUAUAAAUAAAAAAAUAAAUAUUUCAGAAGAGGAAAGUCGUAACAUGGUAAGUCUACCGGAAGGUGGUCUUGGAA
This 904-nucleotide non-coding RNA is filed under the name Pseudoeurycea altamontana (Morelos false brook salamander). RNAcentral describes it as "partial 12S ribosomal RNA". It matches the Rfam family "Bacterial small subunit ribosomal RNA". Lineage: Eukaryota; Metazoa; Chordata; Amphibia; Caudata; Plethodontidae. The record is from RNAcentral.